AAAAAAAAAGGUCAUCUCCUCCAAUCCCCUCCCGUUCUUCUCCUCCACUCCCCUCCCAUGCUUCUCAAACCCUAGCCAAUCCCCAUCGCGCUGCUGGUCUUCCUCCCUGGCUCCCGCUCUCCAUGGACGCGUCCCUCUCCCUCCUUGAUCUCCUCUCCCGGUGCUCGUCCCCGGAGUAGCGCAGUCGGUGGAGGCGUGCGGGAAUGGCGCCGCUGAUGGUCUCGCGGGCGCGAGGGAGGGCGCGCGGGAGCCCGCGCGGCCGGCCAGGCUCCCUCUCCUCCAGCCCUCCCUUUCCCCUUGGCCGGAGCAGAAGAAGGCAGCAGGGCCUCCACCACGCCCCUCCCUACUCGCCCCCAGCUCGACCUGCUGCUGCGAGCAUUAGGAGCAGCCCUCUCUACUGAUUACCAUUCCCAUGGAAGCUUCUUCCUCCGUAUCAAUGGCUCCUCCAGCUCUCCGUCCUCUCUAUCCCCCCUCUCCCACUUUCUCUCUCUCAAUUGAAUCUCUGAAAUGUUUGUGUUUGUGCUGAUUUUGGGUGCAGGUUUUCUCCAUGUCCCCCUUUGCUACAGAUCUAGAUGUUUCACUACAGUUGUGAAAAGUCGGGGCUGAUGUCUCGAGCAUCAGGACUGUAGCAUCACCCCGUCGGUGGAGGACGCCAAGCCUGUCGCUACCCAUUAUCCAAGUUGUCACCGGCGAUGAGAAAUUAUCCGGAGCUUAGGCAACCAUAACGUCUCCAAAUCCUCAAACAAUCAGGAUUCUUAAUCAUCAUUCAGGCUUAUUCGGGCGAAAGCCGCUCAUUUUGUGUGCAAGUGUUGGAGUUAAGCACACAUUUUUUAAAUGCUACACCUAUUGUGUGAGGAGUGGGAUUGGCUGUCGGAUAAUCGGUUGGUGGCCGAGCGAAGUAGCCUAGGCCGCUGCUUGCUGUGUGUCGCCGCUGGAGGAUUUUAAGCUUGGCUGGUGAACUGCCAUCUCCACUUGGAAAACACUGUGUGAGGAGUGAGGUUGUUUCAUGAAAACGAAAGUGGGAUGGAGGGGAAGAUUGACCUAUGUACGCGCUGGAUGUUAACUUUGAGAGGAUGGAUAACGUGGUGACGCAUCCCCAGCCGGUCGGGGAGGCACCCUGAUAUUCAACCGGAAGAAACUACCAUGCUCCUCGAGCAAGAGGACUGGAAUCUUCGCUGCCACUCGAUGGAGGAGGGGGUACGCGGGCUUCAAAUGGAGGUGCAUCAUUUAGGAUAUCUGAUGUGUCGCCGCCACCUGGAGUCGCCUCGCCAUCGUGGUUGUUACCAUUGUCUAACAAGAUUCCCCACUGCUUGACCAGGCAAGAGGACUGCGGAAUCGUCGUUGCCGCUCGAUGGAGGAGGGGGUGCGCGGGUUUCAAAUGGAGGUGCAGCAUUUAGGGUCUCUGAUGUGUCGCCUCCACCUGGAGUUGUCUCGCCAUGGUGAUUGUUACCAUUGCCUAACAAGGUUGGUGAUUGAUGCUACUGGUAUUUAACUUGAGGGAUGCAUAAUUCAGGAUGGAUUUCUGGUUUGGGUGAUCUUCUUAUGGCCAUCGGUACAUCUGCAGAUUCCGCUAUGACACCGCUGGGCAGCACGAUGACGGAGGCCUGAAGUGUAUGACCAGCAACAGCAUCCAUGGGCAGCAUCUGCUGGCACAAUGAAGAAAGUAGGCAAUGUUUUAUUGUAGCUUGGUUAGUUCGUUAUAGUUGUAACCUAUGGAUUUGGUUUUACCUUUGCAAUCUCUUAUAUUCGCUCUACAGGUAAUUCUGAAUUUGGUUUUAGUUACUUAAGGGGAAAAUGUGCAUUGCCUAUAGAUUGUAUCAAAACAGCAGAAUGUAGCAUAUGUAGAAAAAAGAACGAUUUCUAACCAAGCGAGUUUGUUUAUUUUUUGGGCAUUCAAUUGAUGCAUAGCAUUAGUUGAUGAAAGAUGCAUGCUAUUUUUUAUGUUCAGAAGUAUUUAUUAAGAUGGCCGCCUACCAUUUUUCAUUUACUUCUUCACAUCUUAUAUCCAUUAAGUAGCUAGAUCCAAUUUCUGUUAUGGACAUCUUCUAUGCCAUCCAUGGUUAGUACAGAUUUUGUCAUCCGAUUGUUCUCUUCCUAUAUGUGACAGGUUUAGUACUUGGUUUUCUUUACAGCUGCUUAACAAUGGAUUUCGAUCCUGUGAAUUGAUGUAACAAAUAAAUUUUUCAAUGUCAGCUGCAGCAAGAUAUAGGUGUUGUACCCAACAUUGUUUCUAUAGGUGCGCCCUCUCACAAAGAACUCACAGAAUUGGGCAUUCAUUCCAAUUUUAGCAACCAAUUGCUAUCGUAGAGAUAUAUCCAUCUAUGCAAGGGUCAGAAUGAAUGGUGGAAGCAGGUGUUGUCUGCAUACCAAGAAUUCAAUUUCUACUGAUGACAUUGAGUUUUCUGCUCAUUCGAUUUGUUGUUGGAGUUUCUCAUGGCAAUAUGCCGGAUAGCUGCCUCUGGAAUACAAGUGCAGCCAGUAGUUUGUAUUGGGACCUUUUGAGAUCAUGUGUUCUGUUUGUAUGGAUGCUAUGGAGCUGUUUUAAUUGCAACGCUUCAGUUUUAGCAUAUCAGCUUAUCUUAGCAAGAUGGCAUUAAUUACUGGAUAUGCAAAACCAGGAUUUUAACACAGAAACCCCGGUGCCAAUAAGUAGAUAGAUACAACUGAUUGCAGGAGCUUGAUAUUUCUUAAGUACCAAACUUCAAGUAUCUGCAGAUGACUGUACUGCUUAGGCUACCUACAAGAACUACCGCACUUCAAGAAUAAAUUAGCAGUUGAUAUAUGCCAUGUUCAGUGACCCCUCUUCUGUAAUUUAGUGUCCAUUUCUAUGUUUGUCACAUAACCAGUAUCUAUUGGAGAACUUCUGCUUCUUUUGUUUCAAUAUUAUCUCUUACUUUUCUGCU
Molecule: long non-coding RNA, 2903 nt
Organism: Lolium perenne
Lineage: Eukaryota; Viridiplantae; Streptophyta; Magnoliopsida; Poales; Poaceae
Source: RefSeq, a predicted model, not a curated record